GCACACUCCUUAUGAGAAUCCAGUGCCUAAUGGUCUGUCACUGUCUUCCAUCAGCCCCAGAUGGGACCAUCUAGUUGCAGGAAAACAAGCUCAGGGCUCCCACUGGUUCUACAUUAUGAUGCGUGCUGUGAUGAGAAAUUCUGAAGCACACAUUAGAAGCAAUGAUGGUUAUCAGCCUAGCAGAGGCUGAUGGGCUUCCUCAGAUCCCGCCAUGGCACCAAAGGAAUGCCAGAAAAUGAUUGGCUGGGGAGCUCUUCCACAUUGUCAGGAACACUGGAAAAAGGCUGCAAGAGAAUGAUGAGAAAAAACCUGGAGAAUGGCAAAUGCUUCAGUGAAGCAAUCUGUUACAUUCCUUCUUGCAGAGUGGGAUGCCUGGCCUGAGAUGAGAGAAGUAAUAGGACAGAGAGGAAGUGAAAGAAAUAGAACCCGAGGAGAGCAGGACAGAAAGAAAAGAUUUAUAGCAUGGAUUGUAGCCACUCUAAUAUUUGGGCUCCUCCUGAACUUAAUCCAACUUCCACGUUACUGAAAAUUUAUUAUUUCCCUUAUGGAUUUGUAGAAAACAGAUAGCAAAUGAGUAAGAAAAAUGGAAAGAGACACAAAAAAGAGACAAAAAACGGAGAGGACUGUGAGUCCAAUUCCUGUUUCUCCUGCUUUUGUCAGACCAAGUAAAA
This 671-nucleotide long non-coding RNA is filed under the name Pongo abelii (Sumatran orangutan). Its description in RNAcentral is "lincRNA". Lineage: Eukaryota; Metazoa; Chordata; Mammalia; Primates; Hominidae. The record is from RNAcentral.